RNAcentral lists this long non-coding RNA (361 nucleotides) under Equus caballus (horse). RNAcentral's name for it is "lncRNA (ENSECAG00000059985.1)". The record is from RNAcentral. Lineage: Eukaryota; Metazoa; Chordata; Mammalia; Perissodactyla; Equidae.
CACACACACACACACACACACACACACAUACAUUCACACCCCAUCCCACGGCUAGGGCUGAGAAGGGACCCAGACUCCAUUAAAUCAAAAGAAUGCCAAUUAACCUAUCAUGAUUAGGGUCCCGUUAGCAAGGAAAAAGGGAAAGACUGUCAGUGACCCUGGAAGCCAUUUCAUGUGACUUCCGUCCAAAGACAUGAGAAAUGGCUAGAAGGAAGGGGCCACUGAAAAUCUCUAGGAAAAGAGAAACAACAGCAGUAACUAGCAACCUCUUUUCAUGAGUACCAAUAAAGUAAGACCUGAGCUGCUUCCUGGCCCCGUGGAAAUUCAGCAGGACUAUGGAAGUGAGAAUGAGGGAGAGGAG